UAAUUGAAGAGUUUGAUCAUGGCUCAGAUUGAACGCUGGCGGCAGGCCUAACACAUGCAAGUCGGGCGGUAACAGGGAGAAGCUUGCUUCUCUGCUGACGAGCGGCGGACGGGUGAGUAAUGUAUGGGGAUCUGCCUGAUGGCGGGGGAUAACUACUGGAAACGGUAGCUAAUACCGCAUAAUGUCUUC
This 189-nucleotide ribosomal RNA is filed under the name Morganella morganii. RNAcentral describes it as "partial 16S ribosomal RNA". It matches the Rfam family "Bacterial small subunit ribosomal RNA", at positions 1 to 183 of the family's 1533-position model. The record is from RNAcentral. Lineage: Bacteria; Pseudomonadati; Pseudomonadota; Gammaproteobacteria; Enterobacterales; Morganellaceae. RNAcentral also lists the same sequence under 1 other name.